This 683-nucleotide unclassified non-coding RNA is filed under the name Hevea brasiliensis (rubber tree). The record is from RNAcentral. Lineage: Eukaryota; Viridiplantae; Streptophyta; Magnoliopsida; Malpighiales; Euphorbiaceae.
GUGAAGAAAAAAAAAAUAAAAAAGUAAAGAAAAGAAACACCAAACAUUGGGAACAUUUGUCUCAAGGGGACAAGGGGAGGUUUUGGUUCCUUGUUCCUUGUAUCUUGUUUAGCUUAAAGCCAGUUUCGGAGCAAGAGGAAAGGGAGCCUUGUCAUAUGAAUUUAAGAGUAGAAAUUGAGGCGAGAGGUGUAAGUUGCUUUUGGAGACCAGUUUCUUGGAAUAACAUCUCUUGCAGAAAGUGUUCUUCCAGUUGAAAGUGUUGUUAGCUUCACUGAGAAUGGUCCUCUUAAGGGUCCCCUAAUAAUACACCAAUUUGCACCCCAUAGAUGAUUCAUCUCUAGCCACUCACUGCCACCUGCUUCUCUUAUAUGCAUAGAUCCAACGUCACCAUCACCAUCCUCAAACUCUACNNNNAGCCAGUAAUCUGUUGAACCUUCAUUUACAUGGAAGGCAAUGUUCUUCCCUGGAUAUUUACAUGGGGUCCGGCGAAAAGCAACAGGGAUCUCGCCUCGGUUCCUGAGCUGGCCAUUCUCACCGGCUAUAGCCAUGCGACCAAAGGCUGCACCGCUGUGGGUGCGUCCAUUGGAGCAGUACCCACCUGGGCACUCAUCUGUUACGAUUAUGGUUACAGCUCUUCUUGAGCAUAUGCUUUUGUCUAGGCACUUCACUUUGUAACAUGCGCC